AUGUGACAUACACUUAUAUUAUAUCAAUUUAUAUUUCAUUAAAAAAAAUUUCCCUCUUUUUGGGCUAUUAUUUGCUUGGUACUAUGUUUAAUAGAGGGAGGGGCUGAAUUUAAUGAUAGUCAUAAGUCUCAUGAGAGGAGCAAUAAUAAGAUACCACUAGUUUAGAUGGUUGGAUAUAGCACUGUUAGUAUUUCAAAUUAGUUCAUGAUUAUUUCAAUUUGUACUAUUUUGUUCUCUAAGUUCAUGAUUACUUCAUUCUUUUACCGUGCCUCAAUUCUUAAUCCACUAAGUUAUACAUAAUAUUUUGGAGAUACCCUGCUCUGUUUGAGUUGGGCAAGAUCACCACCAUAUACUUAUAUGGGAGAUUUGGAUAGAUAUCUUUUAAAAGUUUGUCCUCUCCUUAUAGAUGCAUUUUUAUUCUUUAUUGUUUGUGUUUCAAGUUAUUGAUAUAGCUUACAUAAUCUUUUUAAUUGAUGCUUCAAUGGCAUGAAACAUGUAUCAUGAUAUAAUAGUCUUAGUUACUUUUCAUUUCUUUAUAGUAUGCCUGACUUGCUUAUACUUUAUCAGAAUGAGGUAAACUUGACAAGGAACUUGGAGUUUAAGAGUUUCAUCAGUUUGUUGGAACCCAAUUAAUUCUGCCCUUAAGUUUGACUAUAAUCUUUGAUGAAAGUGCAGCUUUUUGGUUAAUAUUGUGUUCUGCUAUGGAUAUUUGUGUUAGUUUCUUAAUCUACAUCUGCUAUUGUGCUUUUAGAUAUUCUCUCUUGUCAAAAUUGGGUUGUCCCAGAGUUAAUGAAAAAUGAGUAAUUGCUUACAAUUAGCCUUUCUAGAUUGUCUUACAAUUCCUGUGCUUUUGGUUGCAGGUAUAUGUGGAAAAGGUUCACAAGGCCUAGUGAAUGCAGUUUAGAAAAUUUAGCCACCUAAUUUGUGGAUUCUAUUUUAGGAAUUGUUAUUUAUUGUCUUAGAUGAGUAUUAUGAUUCCUUACACCCAGAUUUUUGUUUUAGGAUGAGGACAUUUUCCUUUGGGAUGAGGACCUUGGAGUUUAAGAGUUCCACCCAGAUAAGAAUGUUGAAAACCAUUUCUGAUUUCUGAAAAUUAGAAAAAAUAUAGUUUGAUGCUCUUAGAUUGUUUAAUUAAAAACAAAUUUGGUGGAGAUUACUUCUGUUUUAUUUAUUUUUAAAUGGGCACUCCUAUAAUGUUACAAAAUCUUAAUGAUUCUCAAAUGAUUUUUAAGUUAUAUAUCUAUCAUUAAAAGUGAAGGGCUGGAGAUUUCACAACCAGCACUUGAUCCUCAACUUUCUGAAAGGUCUUGCUGUGGAGAUUUCACAACCAGCUUUGGAGAUUUUUCAGUUACUCACUGCGCUUAGAACUGGGCUUCGACUUCCUGGGUAUCCAAAUUGAAAGGUCUUGCUGAGAGAAAAAAGCUAGAGGACUUGACAAUUGGUCCAGUUCUCACUAAUGACAUACAAAAUUGGAGGUUGUGAUUUGAGCAGCACUGCUCCUCCUUGUACCAGGUGGAUUGAAAUGAUGGCUCCUGUUUUCUCAAGAGCUGCAUGGCAUUGCGUUUGGUAUAUGAUCCAGGUAGAUUGAAAUGAUGGCUCCUGGAUUAGUAAUAUGUAAUUCAAGGAUGGUAGCUUGCUUAGAAUCUUCGUUAGCUUGGGUACUAGUAGUGUUUUUUUGUUUCAGUAAAAACUAGUGGUCUCUUUUGUAACUUCCUAUUGAUUCUAAAAUUUUUUCUCUUAUGUAAUAAUAUGUAAAGGAAGUAGAUAAUGUAAUAGUUGUUGUAAUGAUUUUGAUUUUGGUAUUUUGUUAGAGCAUGUCAUGUAA
This is a long non-coding RNA of Arachis duranensis, 1825 nucleotides long. RefSeq lists it as uncharacterized. The transcript is spliced from 3 exons. NCBI's taxonomy places the organism in Eukaryota, Viridiplantae, Streptophyta, Magnoliopsida, Fabales, Fabaceae. The record is from RefSeq and is a predicted model, not a curated record.